CAGCCGCCGCGUAAUACGGAGGGUGCAAGCGUUAAUCGGAAUUACUGGGCGUAAAGCGCACGCAGGCGGUUUGUUAAGUCAGAUGUGAAAUCCCCGAGCUUAACUUGGGAACUGCAUUUGAAACUGGCAAGCUAGAGUCUUGUAGAGGGGGGUAGAAUUCCAGGUGUAGCGGUGAAAUGCGUAGAGAUCUGGAGGAAUACCGGUGGCGAAGGCGGCCCCCUGGACAAAGACUGACGCUCAGGUGCGAAAGCGUGGGGAGCAAACAGGAUUAGAUACCCCUGUAGUCCCUGUCUCUUAUACA
This 301-nucleotide ribosomal RNA is filed under the name uncultured bacterium. Its description in RNAcentral is "partial 16S ribosomal RNA". It matches the Rfam family "Bacterial small subunit ribosomal RNA", at positions 509 to 808 of the family's 1533-position model. The record is from RNAcentral.